RNAcentral lists this long non-coding RNA (1047 nucleotides) under Neogobius melanostomus (round goby). Its description in RNAcentral is "lncRNA (ENSNMLG00000010231.1)". Lineage: Eukaryota; Metazoa; Chordata; Actinopteri; Gobiiformes; Gobiidae. The record is from RNAcentral.
AUUCUUACCUGUCUAGUCAAACGAAGUAAACAUGUAGUUACCUGGAUUGUCCUGUAGAUGGCGGCGUCUCUUUGCCAUCACCCCUUGGAACCACCCACUGAAGCAAACAGACAAAUAUAAACACCAAUCAGAUCAUGGUAUUCUGUACAGUAACCAAGACGAGCCAAUGAGAGGCGGUGAGAAGAUGCUUUUCACUGUAGUGGGCGGGACAUGUCGAUGAUGGACAAGUAGGGUUUGAGCUCGGGCCAGAUUUUCAGCGAUCGUAGUUGAGGCAUUUGGAGGCAGUGUGGCAGUGGGAUCAGCACUGCUUUUAGGAGGAGAACCGCGUGUGUGAGGCUACCUUUCGGGAGGACACGCUCACAAACUGCAGGAUAAGACACAAGGUUGACGCGUCGCCAUGACAACAGAAGCGGGCACUGAGACGGAGGUGAAGGAGAAAGCGGAGGAGUCAGCAGCUCAGACCGACCAAUCGGAGAAGGCGCCUGAAGAGACCAAGGAAGUUGUCACCGAGGAGGGAGACAAGAAGGAAAAGGAUAAAGAGGGCAAAGGGAUAUCCCGCUACCUGCCGACAUGGCUCAAGAAACAGAAGUCCCAAAGCCAGACCUCACCCACUAAGGACGUCCCGCCGUCGGAGGAAGCUGUUGACAAGGAGACCGAGCAAAAGGAAGGGGCACCCCCAGAAGUGAACGGACACGCCGAAGAGGAGGAGGAGGAGGAGAAGGAGGAAGAGAAGGCAACGGAGCAAGUGAAUGAGAAAGAAGCUGAACCGAAAGCUGAUGUCACGACAGAAACUCAGGUAUUUUCAGAUCUUUUCACUUGUCAUUUCUUAAACGUAUGGAAAAGCUGAGCCCUGUCUCAAUGCAACUAUGACGCCGUUUGUCGUGGUAUCCCUCUCAAGUGACCUCUGCAGUUUUAGUUCAAACUGCCAAUCUCAGCAUACGUACCACUGUAUGCUUCAAAAUCUAGUCUGAUCGUUUUGGUUUUUACUAGAGCUGGCAAUAAUUACAAUUAAUUUGAUUAACUCUGGUCAUUGGCAAUGUGUCCACA